RNAcentral lists this ribosomal RNA (468 nucleotides) under uncultured bacterium. Its description in RNAcentral is "partial 16S ribosomal RNA". It matches the Rfam family "Bacterial small subunit ribosomal RNA", at positions 28 to 507 of the family's 1533-position model. The record is from RNAcentral.
GACGAACGCUGGCGGCGUGCUUAACACAUGCAAGUCGAACGGUGAUGCUCCAGCUUGCUGGAGUGGAUCAGUGGCGAACGGGUGAGUAACACGUGAGCAACCUGCCCCAGACUCUGGAAUAAGCGCUGGAAACGGCGUCUAAUACUGGAUACGAAACUGGCCCGCAUGGGCAUGGUUUGGAAAGUUUUUCGGUUUGGGAUGGGCUCGCGGCCUAUCAGCUUGUUGGUGAGGUAAUGGCUCACCAAGGCGACGACGGGUAGCCGGCCUGAGAGGGCGACCGGCCACACUGGGACUGAGACACGGCCCAGACUCCUACGGGAGGCAGCAGUGGGGAAUAUUGCACAAUGGGCGAAAGCCUGAUGCAGCGACGCCGCGUGAGGGAUGACGGCCUUCGGGUUGUAAACCUCUUUCAGCAGGGAAGAAGCGAAAGUGACGGUAACUGCAGAAGAAGCACCGGCUAACUACGUG